Long non-coding RNA from Prinia subflava (tawny-flanked prinia), 3112 nucleotides. RefSeq lists it as uncharacterized. The transcript has 4 exons. The record is from RefSeq and is a predicted model, not a curated record. Lineage: Eukaryota; Metazoa; Chordata; Aves; Passeriformes; Cisticolidae.
UGCAGGUGACCAAAUGUAUUCAGCUUGAAAGAUAGAUAUCCAAAUCAUUGUCUCUUACAACACUUACCUAUUGAAAUUUUCAGGGAAAUGAAAAUUUCACAGGAAAAUGCAGUUAAUUCAAGCAGUUCACAUACCCUCUAGCCUUCCCUCCAUCACAAAGGAAAGAUCAGAUUACAAAUCAGCCUUCUGUUUCUGAUCCAAGUACUGCAAUGUAUAAAUAUUCCUAAAGAAAUACCAUUUGUGUUCCUCAUCACCAGCUCCCUCUACAGAGAAUUAACUAAGCACAUCUAAGAACUCUCUUUUUCAGGAGGGAGGGGAGGGAAGGAAAGGAGAAGUGUCCUCCUAUCAGUAUUAGAGUAUUAACUAGAAACUCAACUGUAAUACAUGCUGAACAAGAGUCUAAAAUAAUAACAGACUGUUUAUAAGAACAGAUUCUAGCAUCUUAGGAAUCAUGACCAAGAACAAGAAUCUUGAGAUUCUCCUACUUGAGAAAGAGAAGUAGGGUAAACAUAUAGGAAACAGAUGGUUACCAGUGGUAGAUCACUGGGUUUGGGGGUUUUCCACAUAAAAAAAAAAAAAGUCACACUUCACAUAGACACAUGCACCCACACAGAGAAUCAAGAUGUUUCAAAGUGAUAGCAGAAACUCACAUUCACUGUCCCCUGCUCUGCCAGUGAGGAGCUGCACAAUAAAGUGGGAUGGAGAUAGUCAGGGCAGCUGGACCGAGCUGGCCACUGGGAUAUUCCAUACGCCAGGAGGUCAUGCCCAGUAUAAGAGGGAGCUGGAGGGGGCCAAUGGCUGCAUGGGGAUGGGCAUCAGUCAAUGUCUGGUGAGCAACCAUACUGUGCAUGGCUUGUUUCUCUGUCCCUUCAAUUACAAUUACUAUUAUUGCUGGUAAAAGCUUUAAUUGUAACAAAUAGUGUUUAAAACUUCUGAACUCUUUUAGCUCUAAUUAAAGCAGGACAGUGCUUAGUCUUGUAUAAAUGUGUGCAAGUGGUUACUGCAGCCUUAAAGACCAUGGGCCUGAGCGACACUGAUAAGAAGCUGCAUCUUGGCCAGACCAUGCUGGGGUCACUCAGCACUCAAAGAAAAGAAACUUUUUUUUUGAGGCCUGUGACCAAAAAAUGGAUAAUUUGAGGACUGGAAUGUUCCCCAAAUGACCACCAGAGACCCUCUAAAGAUGAUGCCUACUCUAAUGUAAAUAAGCUCCAAGAAGUGAUUUGAAUAUGCAAAAGAAUUUGUGUAUACAUUUUUAUUAAACUUAUUUUUUAGAUUUCACCAGAAUAGCCCAUAUGGAAGAAUACAAGAAGAUACUUUUAAAAAAUAGAUGGACUGACAGAUUUUUACACUACUUUCCUACAUCAAAGUAAGUAAAUGUUAGUUUUAAAACAUUCUUCAGCUCUUUAAUAAAGUAAUGUAUUUCCACUCCCUCUAUACACUCCCUGUGAACACUCCAUUUAUUUGUCAGAGCACAAAAGCCAUGUCAUCGGCCCAUGCACUAGCACACAUUCAUAAACAAAAUACCAUUGAAGGUAGCCUAAAGAUGUCAUUGCCUUUUACUUUAAAGGAUAAAAAUUUCUUGACAUUCAACUGGAACCAAUCAGGUAUUUCAGAAAUGUUUGUUUAACUCCCUUUCUCAGCUAGCAACUAUAAUAAAGAGACAUACAACAGUGAAAAAGCAGGUAGACGCCCAAUAGAGUCAUAACCAAGUAUGCAGCAAAUGUUUUAAGAGACACACUAUCAACAAAUAUUAUUUACAGUAUGACCCAGAGACAAUGUAAUCACUUGUACAAAAUGUAGAUUACAGUUUUAUCCAGGGACCUAAUGAGUGAUGAUCUUCCCCCCUCCAACACACACACACACAAAAAAAAAAAGGGAAAAAAAAGAAAAAAAAAAAAAAAAAAAAGAAAAAAAAUAACCCCGUGCAAAAAAAAACCCUCAACAGGCAGCAACCUUCGCUUCGAGAUGUUUCUUAAAAAAGCAAAUAGUAACUCACUUUGCUGAUAUGUCUUUAUGUGAUCCCAGAAAAAAAGCAAGGGCGGGGUGGGAAGGGAGAAGGAGAACAACCAGAGAGGGAGCAGACACAGCACUCCUUCGAACCAAGGCUGCCACCUCGUGGGCUUGGGCCGGGGGCAGCCCCAGGGCUUCCCUUUCUCAAGGCAGAAUCAAGAGGGUUUUGAUCCCAUCCAGCAUGAGGAAAUGCAAUCCAUACUUAGUUUUGUAAGACAUGAUGACUGAACAUAUGUUUAAACUUGUAUUUGCCUCUGGGGCAUUUUUACUUCAGCUACAAAGCCCAUUUCAUGAGUGCAUAAGUCAAAGUCAGCAGUUGGUGAGUGCACUUACUUUAACCAUUUCAGCACAUCCUCAUCUCUCACUGUUUGUGGGUGUGCUACAAGAGCCUCAUGAGUCACCCUCUCCAUGCCCUACGUCACUCUCCUGGAUGUUCAUCCACUUCCUUUAAGGGACUGGUCUCAGGCUGCAAGUCCCAAUGCAAAUGAUUCCCUUGUAACAAUUUUCAACUCUACUAUUCCUUUUAUGGGCAGAGAAGUACUUUAAAUAAACUAAGAAAGUUAGACACAUAACUCUUCCUUCAUCAACUAGCAGCUGGCAAAAGCUACAACAGAGUCAUGAUGAUUUAUUGUCACGAAACCUUACUUCCCACACAAGCUACAAGUCAGCUUGUGCACUUGUCUGUCUCUGAGGUACAGAAUGCAGCAAUUCAGCUACUCUGUUCUGAACCUCACUGAGAAGAAGGUCUGUGUGGUUAAAAACACCGGCAUUAAGGGGGCCUUAUGCAACAUCGAAGCCUUUUACAUGCAUUGGCAGCAAUCUCGGGAGCCUCAUAGCACUGAAGGUCCUGGUACCAGCAUGGCCCAGCAUCGCAACAGCAUUGGGAGAUUAAAACAUUUGCCACAUGUGACAGAUUCCCUGAGCACAACUGCUGCACUGCUGAAGUGAAUAGGAGUUUUUCCACAGCCCAUCCCCCAUGACACCCUGUACCAUGUCAUGUUAAAAACUCAAAACCAAAAUAAAAAAUUUCCCUUUUUCCUUCUCUGUUGUUAAAUAAAGCAGAUUUAAUGCAUCAGUUAUAACAAAUAAUUAUUUUACUUAA